GGGAAUUCGAUUAGAGUUUGAUCAUGGCUCAGAACGUACGCUGGCGGCACGCCUAACACAUGCAAGUCGAACGAAGUAGCAAUACUUAGUGGCAGACGGGUGAGUAACAUGUAGGUAUCUACCCUUUGGCCUGGAAUAACACGAGGAAACUUGUGCUAAUACCGGAUAAGUCUUUACGGAGAAAGCUUUAUGCACCAUUGGAUGAGCCUGCACUUGAUUAGUUUGUUGGUAGGGUAAUGGCCUACCAAGACUGUGAUCAAUAGCUGAUUUGAGAGGAUGAUCAGCCACAUUGGGACUGAGACACGGCCCAAACUCCUACGGGAGGCAGCAGUGGGGAAUCUUGCACAAUGGAGGAAACUCUGAUGCAGCGAUGCCGCGUGAGUGAAGAAGGCCUUUGGGUUGUAAAGCUCUUUCGUCGGGGAAGAAAAUGACUGUACCCGAAUAAGAAGGUCCGGCUAACUUCGUGCCAGCAGCCGCGGUAAUACGAAGGGACCUAGCGUAGUUCGGAAUUACUGGGCUUAAAGAGUUCGUAGGUGGUUGAAAAAGUUGGUGGUGAAAUCCCAGAGCUUAACUCUGGAACUGCCAUCAAAACUUUUCAGCUAGAGUUUGAUAGAGGAAAGCAGAAUUUCUAGUGUAGAGGUGAAAUUCGUAGAUAUUAGAAAGAAUACCAAUUGCGAAGGCAGCUUUCUGGAUCAUUACUGACACUGAGGAACGAAAGCAUGGGUAGCGAAGAGGAUUAGAUACCCUCGUAGUCCAUGCUGUAAACGAUGUGUGUUAGACGUUGGAAAUUUAUUUUCAGUGUCGCAGCGAAAGCGAUAAACACACCGCCUGGGGAGUACGACCGCAAGGUUAAAACUCAAAUGAAUUGACGGGGACCCGCACAAGUAGUGGAGCAUGUGGUUUAAUUCGAAGAUACGCGCAGAACCUUACCAACACUUGACAUGUUCGUCGCGACUUUAAGAGAUUAAAGUUUUCGGUUCGGCCGGACGAAACACAGGUGCUGCAUGGCUGUCGUCAGCUCGUGUCGUGAGAUGUUGGGUUAAGUCCCGCAACGAGCGCAACCCUCACUUUUAGUUGCCAUCAUUUAGUUGGGCACUCUGAAAGAACUGCCAGUGAUAAGCUGGAGGAAGGUGGGGAUGACGUCAAGUCCUCAUGGCCCUUACGUGUUGGGCUACACACGUGCUACAAUGGUAUUUACAACAGGAAGCAAAACAGCGAUGUUAAGCAAAUCCUCAAAAGAUACCUCAGUUCGGAUUGCACUCUGCAACUCGAGUGCAUGAAGCUGGAAUUACUAGUAAUCGUGGAUCAGCGUGCCACGGUGAAUGCGUUCCC
This 1332-nucleotide ribosomal RNA is filed under the name uncultured bacterium. RNAcentral's name for it is "bacterial SSU rRNA". It matches the Rfam family "Bacterial small subunit ribosomal RNA", at positions 1 to 1375 of the family's 1533-position model. The record is from RNAcentral.